Molecule: ribosomal RNA, 448 nt
Filed under: uncultured bacterium
Lineage: Bacteria
Description: partial 16S ribosomal RNA
Rfam family: Bacterial small subunit ribosomal RNA
Source: RNAcentral
AACGAACGCUGGCGGCAUGCCUAACACAUGCAAGUCGAACGAGAUCUUCGGGUCUAGUGGCGCACGGGUGCGUAACGCGUGGGAAUCUGCCUUUGGUUCGGAAUAACAGUUGGAAACGACUGCUAAUACCGGAUGAUGACGAAAGUCCAAAGAUUUAUCGCCAGAGGAUGAGCCCGCGUAGGAUUAGCUAGCUGGUGUGGUAAAGGCGCACCAAGGCGACGAUCCUUAGCUGGUCUGAGAGGAUGAUCAGCCACACUGGGACUGAGACACGGCCCAGACUCCUACGGGAGGCAGCAGUGGGGAAUAUUGGACAAUGGGCGAAAGCCUGAUCCAGCAAUGCCGCGUGAGUGAUGAAGGCCUUAGGGUUGUAAAGCUCUUUUACCCGGGAUGAUAAUGACAGUACCGGGAGAAUAAGCUCCGGCUAACUCCGUGCCAGCAGCCGCGGUAA